AUGACUCUCAUCACCAUCCUCAUCUGGACGCUGGCCUGCUGCUGUUUUACAGGAUGCAGCGGUCAGGUGACUGUGACUCAGCCUGCAGUAGAGACAUCUGCUCCAGGAUCCACUGUCACUAUCAGCUGUACGACCAGCCGGGAUGUAGGAGGUUGGUGCAGUGGGUUUUGUAUGGCCUGGUAUCAGCAGAAAUCUGGACAAACUCCAAAGCUCCUGAUUAGAUCAGGAAGCACAAGACAUUCAGGAACAGCAGCUCGGUUUAGUGGCAGUGGAAGGAGCUCUGACUUCACUUUGACCAUCAGUGGAGUUCAGACUGAAGAUGCAGCAGUUUAUUACUGUCAGAGUGAACAUGGUGGUGGUGUGUUCACACAGUGA
Molecule: non-coding RNA, 375 nt
Organism: Centropristis striata (black sea bass)
Lineage: Eukaryota; Metazoa; Chordata; Actinopteri; Perciformes; Serranidae
Source: the annotation of a RefSeq genome assembly